This 543-nucleotide ribosomal RNA is filed under the name uncultured bacterium. Its description in RNAcentral is "bacterial SSU rRNA". It matches the Rfam family "Bacterial small subunit ribosomal RNA", at positions 777 to 1318 of the family's 1533-position model. The record is from RNAcentral.
AAUAGAUACCCUGGUAGUCCGCACCAUAAACGAUGGAUACUAGAUGUUUGGAGAAUUAACCCUCCGAGUAUCAAAGCUCACGCAUUAAGUAUCCCGCCUGGGGAGUACGGCCGCAAGGCUGAAACUCAAAGGAAUUGACGGGGGCCCGCACAAGCGGUGGAGUAUGUGGUUUAAUUCGAAGCAACGCGCAGAACCUUACCUGGGUUUGACAUCCUACGAAUACUGCAGAGAUGUAGUAGUGUCGCAAGACACGUAGAGGACAGGUGCUGCAUGGCUGUCGUCAGCUCGUGUUGUGAAAUGUUGGGUUAAGUCCCGCAACGAGCGCAACCCCUAUCCUUAGUUGCCACCAUUAAGUUGGACACUCUGGGGAGACCGCCGGUGUUAAACCGGAGGAAGGCGGGGAUGACGUCAAGUCCUCAUGGCCCUUACAUCCAGGGCUACACACGUACUACAAUGGUAGAAACAAAGUGACGCAAAGCCGUAAGGUGGAGCAAAUCACAAAAACACUACCUCAAGUUCGGAUUGAGGUCUGCAACUCGACCU